This 434-nucleotide ribosomal RNA is filed under the name Climacostomum virens. RNAcentral describes it as "partial Bacterial large subunit ribosomal RNA". It matches the Rfam family "Bacterial large subunit ribosomal RNA", at positions 2481 to 2910 of the family's 2925-position model. The record is from RNAcentral. Lineage: Eukaryota; Ciliophora; Heterotrichea; Heterotrichida; Climacostomidae.
GCUGAUACCGCCCAAGAGUUCAUAUCGACGGCGGUGUUUGGCACCUCGAUGUCGGCUCAUCUCAUCCUGGGGCUGUAGCCGGUCCCAAGGGUAUGGCUGUUCGCCAUUUAAAGAGGUACGUGAGCUGGGUUUAAAACGUCGUGAGACAGUUUGGUCCCUAUCUUCCGUGGGCGCUGCAGAUUUGAGGAAGCCUGCUCCUAGUACGAGAGGACCGGAGUGGACACACCUCUGGUGUAUCGGUUGUCACGCCAGUGGCAUUGCCGAGUAGCUAUGUGUGGAAGAGAUAACCGCUGAAAGCAUCUAAGCGGGAAACUCGUUUCAAGAUGAGAUCUGCCGGGGCCUUGAGCCCCCUGAAGAGUCGUUCAAGACCAGGACGUUGAUAGGUCAGGUGUGGAAGCGCAGUAAUGCGUUAAGCUAACUGAUACUAAUUGCUC